AACGAACGCUGGCGGCAUGCCUAACACAUGCAAGUCGAACGAAGUCUUCGGACUUAGUGGCGCACGGGUGCGUAACGCGUGGGAAUCUGCCCUUGGGUGCGGAGUAACUUCUCGAAAGGGAUGCUAAUACCGCAUAAUGUCGUAAGACCAAAGAUUUAUCGCCCAAGGAUGAGCCCGCGUAAGAUUAGCUAGUUGGUGGGGUAAAAGCCUACCAAGGCGACGAUCUUUAGCUGGUCUGAGAGGAUGAUCAGCCACACUGGGACUGAGACACGGCCCAGACUCCUACGGGAGGCAGCAGUGGGGAAUAUUGGACAAUGGGCGAAAGCCUGAUCCAGCAAUGCCGCGUGAGUGAUGAAGGCCUUAGGGUUGUAAAGCUCUUUUACCCGGGAUGAUAAUGACAGUACCGGGAGAAUAAGCUCCGGCUAACUCCGUGCCAGCAGCCGCGGUAAU
This 450-nucleotide ribosomal RNA is filed under the name uncultured bacterium. RNAcentral describes it as "bacterial SSU rRNA". It matches the Rfam family "Bacterial small subunit ribosomal RNA", at positions 29 to 524 of the family's 1533-position model. The record is from RNAcentral.